This 466-nucleotide ribosomal RNA is filed under the name uncultured bacterium. Its description in RNAcentral is "partial 16S ribosomal RNA". It matches the Rfam family "Bacterial small subunit ribosomal RNA", at positions 28 to 507 of the family's 1533-position model. The record is from RNAcentral.
GAUGAACGCUGGCGGCGUGCUUAACACAUGCAAGUCGAACGAUGAAGCCCAGCUUGCUGGGUGGAUUAGUGGCGAACGGGUGAGUAACACGUGAGUAACCUGCCCUUAACUCUGGGAUAAGCCUGGGAAACUGGGUCUAAUACCGGAUAGGAGCGUCCACCGCAUGGCGGGUGUUGGAAAGAUUUAUCGGUUUUGGAUGGACUCGCGGCCUAUCAGCUUGUUGGUGAGGUAAUGGCUCACCAAGGCGACGACGGGUAGCCGGCCUGAGAGGGUGACCGGCCACACUGGGACUGAGACACGGCCCAGACUCCUACGGGAGGCAGCAGUGGGGAAUAUUGCACAAUGGGCGCAAGCCUGAUGCAGCAACGCCGCGUGAGGGAUGACGGCCUUCGGGUUGUAAACCUCUUUCAGUAGGGAAGAAGCGAAAGUGACGGUACCUGCAGAAGAAGCACCGGCUAACUACGUG